This 67-nucleotide transfer RNA is filed under the name Calliotropis micraulax. Its description in RNAcentral is "tRNA-Cys". Lineage: Eukaryota; Metazoa; Mollusca; Gastropoda; Seguenziida; Calliotropidae. The record is from RNAcentral.
GACCCUAUAGUUGAUUUACAAUAACAAAUUGCAAAUUUGUAGGUGGGCUUUAUGGCUUCUAGGGUUU